CCUACGGGAGGCAGCAGUGAGGAAUAUUGGUCAAUGGGCGCGAGCCUGAACCAGCCAAGUAGCGUGAAGGAGGACGGCCCUACGGGUUGUAAACUUCUUUUAUAAAGGAAUAAAGUGAGGCACGUGUGCCUGUUUGUGUGUACUUUAUGAAUAAGGAUCGGCUAACUCCGUGACAGCAGCCGCGGUAAUACGGAGGAUGCCAGCGUUAUCCGGAUUUAUUGGGUUUAAAGGGAGCGUAGACGGGUUGCUAUGUCAGUUGUGAAAGUUUGCGGCUCAACCGUAAAAUUGCCAUUGAUACUGGCAGUCUUGAGUACACUUGAGGUACUCGGAAUUCGUGGUGUAGCGGUGAAAUGCUUAGAUAUCACGCAGAACUCCGAUUGCGAAGGCAGCUUACUAACCUGCCACUGACAUUCAUGCUCGAAAGUGUGGGUAUCACACAGGAUUAGAUACCCGAGUAGUC
This 460-nucleotide ribosomal RNA is filed under the name uncultured bacterium. RNAcentral's name for it is "partial 16S ribosomal RNA". It matches the Rfam family "Bacterial small subunit ribosomal RNA", at positions 338 to 795 of the family's 1533-position model. The record is from RNAcentral.